This 983-nucleotide ribosomal RNA is filed under the name uncultured Nocardia sp. RNAcentral's name for it is "bacterial SSU rRNA". It matches the Rfam family "Bacterial small subunit ribosomal RNA", at positions 342 to 1337 of the family's 1533-position model. The record is from RNAcentral. Lineage: Bacteria; Bacillati; Actinomycetota; Actinomycetes; Mycobacteriales; Nocardiaceae.
CGGGAGGCAGCAGUGGGGAAUAUUGCACAAUGGGCGAAAGCCUGAUGCAGCGACGCCGCGUGAGGGAUGACGGCCUUCGGGUUGUAAACCUCUUUCGACAGGGACGAAGCGCAAGUGACGGUACCUGUAGAAGAAGCACCGGCCAACUACGUGCCAGCAGCCGCGGUAAUACGUAGGGUGCGAGCGUUGUCCGGAAUUACUGGGCGUAAAGAGCUUGUAGGCGGUUUGUCGCGUCGUCCGUGAAAACUUGGGGCUCAACCCCAAGCUUGCGGGCGAUACGGGCAGACUUGAGUACUGCAGGGGAGACUGGAAUUCCUGGUGUAGCGGUGAAAUGCGCAGAUAUCAGGAGGAACACCGGUGGCGAAGGCGGGUCUCUGGGCAGUAACUGACGCUGAGAAGCGAAAGCGUGGGUAGCGAACAGGAUUAGAUACCCUGGUAGUCCACGCCGUAAACGGUGGGCGCUAGGUGUGGGUUUCCUUCCACGGGAUCCGUGCCGUAGCUAACGCAUUAAGCGCCCCGCCUGGGGAGUACGGCCGCAAGGCUAAAACUCAAAGGAAUUGACGGGGGCCCGCACAAGCGGCGGAGCAUGUGGAUUAAUUCGAUGCAACGCGAAGAACCUUACCUGGGUUUGACAUACACCGGAAACCUGCAGAGAUGUAGGCCCCCUUGUGGUCGGUGUACAGGUGGUGCAUGGCUGUCGUCAGCUCGUGUCGUGAGAUGUUGGGUUAAGUCCCGCAACGAGCGCAACCCUUGUCCUGUGUUGCCAGCGCGUUAUGGCGGGGACUCGCAGGAGACUGCCGGGGUCAACUCGGAGGAAGGUGGGGACGACGUCAAGUCAUCAUGCCCCUUAUGUCCAGGGCUUCACACAUGCUACAAUGGCCGGUACAGAGGGCUGCGAUACCGUGAGGUGGAGCGAAUCCCUUAAAGCCGGUCUCAGUUCGGAUCGGGGUCUGCAACUCGACCCCGUGAAGUUGGAGUCGCUA